ACUCCGAUAGUUUAAUUGGUGAAAAUUUUCGACUGAUAAUCGAAAGAGUGCCUGUUCGAUUCAGGCUCGGAGUACCA
This 77-nucleotide transfer RNA is filed under the name Caudoviricetes sp. RNAcentral describes it as "tRNA-Ile". It matches the Rfam family "tRNA". From Rfam's summary of the family: Transfer RNA (tRNA) molecules are approximately 80 nucleotides in length. The record is from RNAcentral. Lineage: Duplodnaviria; Heunggongvirae; Uroviricota; Caudoviricetes.